GUGACUGACUUAGGCAUUUAAGAAUAUUCCAAUUCUGACAAAUUGCAAACUCCCCUAACAGAGGCAAAGUAAAGGAAGGAUCUGUGCAAUGAAAGCUGGAAAGUCACCAGGAAUAGAUGGCCUCCCAGCAGAGUUUUAUCACAAAUUUAGAGAUUUGCUACGUCCAUUUUUAACUGAGUAUUACAUGAAGCCUUUGAAUAUGGACGGCUCCCUGACCGUAAUAUCAGUAAUUCCAAAGGCGACAAAGAUUUAACGGAUCCAGGAAAUUACAGACUGAUAAAUGUGGAUUACAAAAUUCUAUCCAAAGUAUUAACAAUGAGGCUGGAGGUUGUACUACCACAAAUUAGAGAUGGCACGAUACCACUUUUUUAUGUCCGAUACCGAUAUCAUAAAUUUGGAUAUCUGCCGAUACCGAUAUGAAUCCGAUACAGUGUUUUUUAAUCAACAAAAUUGUUUUUUAAAUAUCUUGCUGCAUUUUGUAUAAGUUCAUACUCAAGUUUAAAACAACAACUACACUAAAGCUAUUCUGUUAUACCUGUAUGCAAAAAAAAAUAUUUCAUACUUCAGCAAUACUGAUCAAUCUAAUAAACUUAAACCUACACCAUCCUCCCUAUUCUGGUAUUUUAAAGAGUACUUAGCAUAAAUAUUAAGCAACCUAACUAAUAGGGUUCCAACUCCCAGCAACAACAAAAAUAAAUAAAUAAAAAAUAGGGAACCACCCCUCACGCUCCACCUCAUGAUGCUUAAUCGACGUAAUCAACCUCAAUUUGAUGCAGUGUGAAAAAAAAAAUGCACCGAAAUCAAUUAUUUUUCAAGAAAUAUUAAAUAGAUUCAACAUCUUUCUUCAACAAAAUUGCAGACUCCACAGAUGGUACCUUCCCAAAGGAAAAAGUACUAUAGCUUACUAGGGUAUAUAUAUUAGACUUAAUAGUCACUAUAUACAGUAAUUGACUUCUAUUCAUUUUACAUCAAAUUAAAACUUUGGGUGUCAAAUAAUUAUUUAUUAAAAGCUAGACAUUUUAAAUGAGAAUAAGAAAGAAAAGUAUGUCUUUGUGCCCCCUUUUCCCUGUUAAUGCCCUAUCGGCCCCCCUGGCUAAACUUUGCUAGAUCCGCCCCUGCACAGUUACCAGCGUCAGCUAUGUAGAAAAAGAUCCUCAAGUAGAAAGUAAUAUUAAAUACAUUCUAGCAACAGCUGAUCAAGCUUAAACGUGCUGCUGUUGUUCAGC
Long non-coding RNA from Astatotilapia calliptera (eastern happy), 1226 nucleotides. The record is from Ensembl. NCBI's taxonomy places the organism in Eukaryota, Metazoa, Chordata, Actinopteri, Cichliformes, Cichlidae.